This 510-nucleotide ribosomal RNA is filed under the name uncultured Serratia sp. RNAcentral's name for it is "bacterial SSU rRNA". It matches the Rfam family "Bacterial small subunit ribosomal RNA", at positions 1 to 526 of the family's 1533-position model. The record is from RNAcentral. Lineage: Bacteria; Pseudomonadati; Pseudomonadota; Gammaproteobacteria; Enterobacterales; Yersiniaceae.
UCGGCUUAGAGUUUGAUCAUGGCUCAGAUUGAACGCUGGCGGCAGGCUUAACACAUGCAAGUCGAGCGGUAGGGGAGCUUGCUCCCCACGAGCGGCGGACGGGUGAGUAAUGUCUGGGAAACUGCCUGAUGGAGGGGGAUAACUACUGGAAACGGUAGCUAAUACCGCAUAACGUCGCAAGACCAAAGAGGUUCGUCUUGCCAUCAGAUGUGCCCAGAUGGGAUUAGCUAGUAGGUGGGGUAAUGGCUCACCUAGGCGACGAUCCCUAGCUGGUCUGAGAGGAUGACCAGCCACACUGGAACUGAGACACGGUCCAGACUCCUACGGGAGGCAGCAGUGGGGAAUAUUGCACAAUGGGCGCAAGCCUGAUGCAGCCAUGCCGCGUGUGUGAAGAAGCCUUCGGGUUGUAAAGCACUUUCAGCGAGGAGGAAGGUGGUGAGUAAUCUCAUCAAUUGACGUUACUCGCAGAAGAAGCACCGGCUAACUCCGUGCCAGCAGCCGCGGUAAUAC